AUACUUAGCUAGCAAGGGACAUUCUGUGAUCACAAAAAUGGUUUUUCUAGGGUCCAUCAUUCUCAAUAUAUGCUACCCCUGUGAUUUCCCAAAAUACAAGAAAUUUGAUGCAUAAUUUGUGGUAAUUUAGGAUUGCACUCACAUAUUCUGGU
RNAcentral lists this small nuclear RNA (152 nucleotides) under Peromyscus maniculatus bairdii (prairie deer mouse). RNAcentral's name for it is "U1 spliceosomal RNA (ENSPEMG00000002241.2)". It matches the Rfam family "U1 spliceosomal RNA". From Rfam's summary of the family: U1 is a small nuclear RNA (snRNA) component of the spliceosome (involved in pre-mRNA splicing). Its 5' end forms complementary base pairs with the 5' splice junction, thus defining the 5' donor site of an intron. The record is from RNAcentral. Lineage: Eukaryota; Metazoa; Chordata; Mammalia; Rodentia; Cricetidae.